GAUGAACGCUGGCGGCGUGCCUAAUACAUGCAAGUCGAGCGAACAGACGAGGAGCUUGCUCCUCUGACGUUAGCGGCGGACGGGUGAGUAACACGUGGAUAACCUACCUAUAAGACUGGGAUAACUUCGGGAAACCGGAGCUAAUACCGGAUAAUAUAUUGAACCGCAUGGUUCAAUAGUGAAAGACGGUUUUGCUGUCACUUAUAGAUGGAUCCGCGCCGCAUUAGCUAGUUGGUAAGGUAACGGCUUACCAAGGCAACGAUGCGUAGCCGACCUGAGAGGGUGAGCGGCCACAGGAGAACGGAGACCGGACCCAGCCCCCGCGGGGGGGAGGCAGGGGGUAAUCUGCCGAAAUGGGCAAAAGUUUGAGGGAGCAACGCGGGGUGAGGAAGAAAGGUCUUGGAAUCAAAAAACUUGUUUAUGGGGAAAAAAAAAGUGUGAAAGAAAAUAUGCCCUUCUGGAGGGUACCAAAUCAGAAGCCCAGGCCAAACCAGGUG
RNAcentral lists this ribosomal RNA (497 nucleotides) under uncultured bacterium. Its description in RNAcentral is "partial 16S ribosomal RNA". It matches the Rfam family "Bacterial small subunit ribosomal RNA", at positions 28 to 507 of the family's 1533-position model. The record is from RNAcentral.